RNAcentral lists this ribosomal RNA (432 nucleotides) under uncultured bacterium. RNAcentral describes it as "partial 16S ribosomal RNA". It matches the Rfam family "Bacterial small subunit ribosomal RNA", at positions 29 to 506 of the family's 1533-position model. The record is from RNAcentral.
AACGAACGCUGGCGGCAUGCCUAACACAUGCAAGUCGAACGAUGCUUUCGGGCUUAGUGGCGCACGGGUGCGUAACGCGUGGGAAUCUGCCCUUGGGUUCGGAAUAACAGUGAGAAAUUGCUGCUAAUACCGGCUGAUGUCUUCGGACCAAAGUUUUAUCGCCCAGGGAUGAGCCUGCGUAGGAAUAGCUAGUUGGUGGGGUAAUGGCCUUCCAAGGCGACGAUCCUUAGCUGGUCUGAGAGGAUGAUCUGCCACACUGGGACAGGGACACGGCCCAGACUCCGGCGGGAGGCAGCAGGGGGGAAUAUGGGACGCUGGGCGCAAGCCUGAGCCAUCAGGGCCGCGUGAGUGAUGAAGGCCUUAGGGUUGUAAAGCUCUUUUUCCCGGGAUGAUAAUGACAGUACCGGAAGAAUAAGCUCCGGCUAACUCCGU